GCUAGGUAAGCCCUUUGGCAAGGGCGAGGAUUUUUAAUCCUGAAAAUAGACGAGGUAGUCGUUGAAUACAUAGGUGGUUCGAUUCCAUCACCUAGCACCU
Molecule: transfer RNA, 100 nt
Filed under: Escherichia phage vB_EcoM_SophiaRose
Lineage: Duplodnaviria; Heunggongvirae; Uroviricota; Caudoviricetes
Also listed under: 1 other name
Description: tRNA-OTHER
Rfam family: tRNA
About the family: Transfer RNA (tRNA) molecules are approximately 80 nucleotides in length. Their secondary structure includes four short double-helical elements and three loops (D, anti-codon, and T loops).
Source: RNAcentral